This 558-nucleotide ribosomal RNA is filed under the name Nakaseomyces glabratus. RNAcentral's name for it is "[Candida] glabrata partial large subunit ribosomal RNA". It matches the Rfam family "Eukaryotic large subunit ribosomal RNA", at positions 89 to 653 of the family's 3401-position model. The record is from RNAcentral. Lineage: Eukaryota; Fungi; Ascomycota; Saccharomycetes; Saccharomycetales; Saccharomycetaceae.
GCGAGUGAAGCGGCAAAGCUCAAAUUUGAAAUCUGGUACCUUUGGUGCCCGAGUUGUAAUUUGGAGAGUACCACUUUGGGACUGUACUUUGCCUAUGUUCCUUGGAACAGGACGUCAUGGAGGGUGAGAAUCCCGUGUGGCGAGGGUGUCAGUUCUUUGUAAAGGGUGCUCGAAGAGUCGAGUUGUUUGGGAAUGCAGCUCUAAGUGGGUGGUAAAUUCCAUCUAAAGCUAAAUACAGGCGAGAGACCGAUAGCGAACAAGUACAGUGAUGGAAAGAUGAAAAGAACUUUGAAAAGAGAGUGAAAAAGUACGUGAAAUUGUUGAAAGGGAAGGGCAUUUGAUCAGACAUGGUGUUUUGCGCCCCUUGCCUCUCGUGGGCUUGGGACUCUCGCAGCUCACUGGGCCAGCAUCGGUUUUGGCGGCCGGAAAAAACCUAGGGAAUGUGGCUCUGCGCCUCGGUGUAGAGUGUUAUAGCCCUGGGGAAUACGGCCAGCCGGGACCGAGGACUGCGAUACUUGUUAUCUAGGAUGCUGGCAUAAUGGUUAUAUGCCGCCCGUC